RNAcentral lists this ribosomal RNA (464 nucleotides) under uncultured bacterium. RNAcentral describes it as "partial 16S ribosomal RNA". It matches the Rfam family "Bacterial small subunit ribosomal RNA", at positions 339 to 795 of the family's 1533-position model. The record is from RNAcentral.
CUACGGGAUGCUCCAGUGGGGAAUUUUGGACAAUGGGCGCAAGCCUGAUCCAGCCAUUCCGCGUGAGUGAAGAAGGCCUUCGGGUUGUAAAGCUCUUUCGCAAGGGAAGAAAACUUAUCCUCUAACAUAGGGUGAGGUUGACGGUACCUUGAUAAGAAGCACCGGCUAACUACGUGCCAGCAGCCGCGGUAAUACGUAGGGUGCGAGCGUUAAUCGGAAUUACUGGGCGUAAAGCGUGCGCAGGCUGUUUUGUAAGUCAGAUGUGAAAUCCCCGCGCUCAACUUGGGAACUGCGUUUGAAACUACAAGACUAGAAUAUGUCAGAGGAGGGUAGAAUUCCAUGUGUAGCAGUGAAAUGCGUAGAGAUGUGGAGGAAUACCAAUGGCGAAGGCAGCCCCCUGGGAUAAUAUUGACGCUCAUGCACGAAAGCGUGGGGAGCAAACAGGAUUAGAUACCCGUGUAGUC